Molecule: ribosomal RNA, 496 nt
Filed under: uncultured bacterium
Lineage: Bacteria
Description: partial 16S ribosomal RNA
Rfam family: Bacterial small subunit ribosomal RNA
Source: RNAcentral
AUGAACGCUGGCGGCGUGCCUAAUACAUGCAAGUCGAGCGAACAGACGAGGAGCUUGCUCCUCUGACGUUAGCGGCGGACGGGUGAGUAACACGUGGAUAACCUACCUAUAAGACUGGGAUAACUUCGGGAAACCGGAGCUAAUACCGGAUAAUAUAUUGAACCGCAUGGUUCAAUAGUGAAAGACGGUUUUGCUGUCACUUAUAGAUGGAUCCGCGCCGCAUUAGCUAGUUGGUAAGGUGACGGCUUACCAAGGCAACGAUGCGUAGCCGACCUGAGAGGGUGAUCGGCCACACUGGAACUGAGACACGGUCCAGACUCCUACGGGAGGCAGCAGUAGGGAAUCUUCCGCAAAGGGCGAAAGCUUGACGGAGCAACGCCGCGUGAGUGAUGAAGGUCUUCGGAUCGUAAAACUCUGUUAUUAGGGAAGAACAAAUGUGUAAGUAACUAUGCACGUCUUGACGGUACCUAAUCAGAAAGCCACGGCUAACUACGUG